This 254-nucleotide ribosomal RNA is filed under the name uncultured bacterium. RNAcentral's name for it is "partial 16S ribosomal RNA". It matches the Rfam family "Bacterial small subunit ribosomal RNA", at positions 524 to 777 of the family's 1533-position model. The record is from RNAcentral.
UACGGAGGGUGCAAACGUUGCUCGGAAUCAUUGGGCGUAAAGCGCACGUAGGCGGCCUGUUAAGUCGGAUGUGAAAGCCCCGGGCUCAACCCGGGAAGUGCAUUCGAAACUGGCGGGCUUGAAUAUGGAAGAGGGUCGCGGAAUUCCCGGUGUAGAGGUGAAAUUCGUAGAUAUCGGGAGGAACACCAGUGGCGAAGGCGGCGACCUGGGCCAAUAUUGACGCUGAGGUGCGAAAGCGUGGGGAGCAAACAGGG